GAGGGGAGUGAAAGAGAACCUGAAACCGUGGACCUACAAGCGGUCAGAGACGGGGCGACCCGGUGAUGGCGUGCCUUUUGUAGAAUGAGCCUGCGAGUUACCGUAUGCAGCGAGGUUAAGGGAUAGGAGUCCCGGAGCCGUAGGGAAACCGAGUCUGAACAGGGCGGCAGUUGCGUGCGGUAGACCCGAAGCCAAGUGAUCUAUCCGCGUCCAGGCUGAAACCUGAGUAAAAUCAGGCGGAGGGCCGAACCUAAAUCCGCUGAAAAGGGUUGGGAUGAGGUGCGGAUCGGAGUGAAAGGCUAAACAAACUUGGAGAUAGCUGGCACUCCCCGAAAUAGCUUUAGGGCUAGCCUCGCACGGACCGUCCCGGAGGUAAAGCACUGGAUGGAUGCGGGCCCUUCACCGGGUACCAAGUUCAACCAAACUCAGAAUGCCGGGACGAAAUAUGCGGGAGUCAGACUACGGCUGAUAAGGGCCGUGGUCGAGAGGGAAACAGCCCGGACCGCCGGCUAAGGUCCCCAAGACGCGCCAAGUGGGAAAGGAAGUGCGAUUGCAGAGACAGCCAGGAGGUUGGCUUAGAAGCAGCCAUACCUUCAAAGAGUGCGUAACAGCUCACUGGUCGAGUAGUCGUGCGCCGACAAUGUAACGGGGCUAAGCGCGUCACCGAAGCCGCGGCACAGCGCGAGACGCUGUGGGUAGGGGAGCAUUCCGCGUACGGACGAAGGCAGGGCGGGAGCCUUGCUGGACGGAGCGGAAGAGAGGAUGCAGGCAUGAGUAACGAAAAGACGGGUGGGAUCCCCGUCCGCCGAAAGCCCGAGGUUUCCAGGGUAAAGGCAAUCUUCCCAAGGGUCAGUCGGCCCCUAAGGCGAGGCUGAAGAGCGUAGCCGAUGGGAAACGGGUCAACAUUCCCGUACCGCUUCCUGUUUCGAUGGAACGACGCAUAGGGCGAAGCGCGGCCGGGCGACGGUAGUCCCGGUCCAAGCGCCGACCCGUUGAGGCCGCCAGGCAAAUCCGGCGGCCGAGGCGAGGCGCGAGAGCGAGCCGAGCUACGGCGAGGCGAAGCGCGUGGAGUCGUCGUGCCGAGAAAGAGUUUCUAAGGACAGGCAGGAAGCGACCGUACCGAAAACCGACACAGGUGGGCGAGCUGAGCAUGCUCAGGCGCACGGAAGAACUCGCGUCAAGGAACUCGGCAAAAAGCAUACGUAACUUCGGGAGAAGUAUGGCCGCUGGGGGCGAAAGUUCCCGGCGGCUGCAGAGAAACGGCCCAAGCGACUGUUUACCAAAAACACAGGUCCAUGCGAACCAGCGAUGGGAGGUAUAUGGACUGACACCUGCCCGGUGCUGGAAGGUUAAGAGGAGCCGUCAGCGCAAGCGAAGCGGCGAAUUGAAGCCCCAGUAAACGGCGGCCGUAACUAUAACGGUCCUAAGGUAGCGAAAUUCCUUGUCGGGUAAGUUCCG
RNAcentral lists this ribosomal RNA (1458 nucleotides) under bioreactor metagenome. RNAcentral's name for it is "bacterial LSU rRNA". It matches the Rfam family "Bacterial large subunit ribosomal RNA", at positions 531 to 1985 of the family's 2925-position model. The record is from RNAcentral.